CUACGGGGGGCAGCAGUGGGGAAUAUUGGACAAUGGGGGAAACCCUGAUCCAGCAAUGCCGCGUGUGUGAAGAAGGCCUGCGGGUUGUAAAGCACUUUCGGUCGGGAGGACUGCUUCUAGCACUAAUAUUGUUGGAAGUUGACGUUACCUUCAGAAGAAGCACCGGCUAACUCCGUGCCAGCAGCCGCGGUAAUACGGAGGGUGCAAGCGUAAUCGGAAUUACUGGGCGUAAAGCGCGCGUAGGCGGCUAGAUCAGUCGGGUGUGAAAGCCCCGGGCUUAACCUGGGAACUGCAUCCGAUACUGUCUAGCUUGAGUACAGGAGAGGAGAGUGGAAUUCCACAUGUAGCGGUGAAAUGCGUAGAUAUGUGGAGGAACACCAAUGGCGAAGGCAGCUCUCUGGCCUGAUACUGACGCUGAGGUGCGAAAGCGUGGGGAGCAAACAGGAUUAGAUACCCGUGUAGUC
This 464-nucleotide ribosomal RNA is filed under the name uncultured bacterium. RNAcentral's name for it is "partial 16S ribosomal RNA". It matches the Rfam family "Bacterial small subunit ribosomal RNA", at positions 339 to 795 of the family's 1533-position model. The record is from RNAcentral.